This is a long non-coding RNA of Saccostrea echinata, 369 nucleotides long. RefSeq lists it as uncharacterized. Lineage: Eukaryota; Metazoa; Mollusca; Bivalvia; Ostreida; Ostreidae. The record is from RefSeq and is a predicted model, not a curated record. The transcript is spliced from 3 exons.
CGUGCACAGCUGUAUUCUUCCUGUCAGUUCAUUUUACCUUAUUGCACGUAACCAUGAGGAAAGUGCUUGCUUUGUGGUUUCUCUGUUUUACGUUAGUGGGAGCCUUGUCCAAGGAUCCUUGUGUGACAGAUGCUGACUGCACAUGUGCCACUGAUCUUUUUCCUCACUGUCACCAUGGAAAGUGUUACUGUCAUCACAGUACUCACGAGUGUAAUCACCCUUACGACUGCACGUGUGAGCCCAAUCAUCACGCCACGUGCGACCAUCAUCUCUGUCACUGCCAUCCCAACACGCACUGAACGUGCGAUCUGAAUGAAAGUUCUACAGAUAUUCAAUAUGGAAGAAAUAAAAUGCCUGAAAUAAUUGUUA